UCCUUCCUUUUCUUAGCACAAACUCUUUCACCAAAUUUCUCUUUCUUUCUUGCUAAGUAUACACUCUUGAAGAUGGCUGAUCUUGGAAACACUCUCAUGAAAAAUAUAAUACGAACUCGGUGGAGUAUUAGCCUGUUUGGAAGAUCCACAUUCAGAAGGUGAAAGUGGUGGAGAAAAAGAAUGCUUCCAUGGGUGUGUGGGUGUACGAGAAAAGAUAGCAUUUUGUGUUAAAGUUUGUGACCCGAGUUCUAUUGAUCCAACCAUGAAAAGUUCGCGGUGCGACCCAUGUUUGUGAUUUGUAAGCGCGUAUUAUAUAAGUGCCGCAAUUAGUGGGUCAUUUUAGGACGUUCAGAAAAUACGUCAUUGUACUCAUUGUAUUCUCCAUCCAUUAUAGUGAAAUUCCUUUGCCUCUGUCCGUGGUUUUUCCCGCAAGGAUUUCCACGUAAAUCUGUGUGUUCAUCUUGUUUUUCCUUUGCUUGUGGUAUUGCUUAUUCUGUCCGAUUAUAACAAUUUGAGAUAAGGUGGGACUGACUUCGGUGAAAGCCAAGAUGAGGGAAGUGAGGUUGAGAUGGUUCGGUCAUGUGAUGAGGAAGGGCACGAUGUCCCAGCGUGAAAGUGUGAGAGGUUGGUUAGGGAUGGAUUCAAGCGAGGUAAAGGUAGACCGAAGACAAAUUAUAUUGGAGGGAGGUGAUUAGACAUGAUCGACAUGAAACAACUCCAGCUUAUUGAGAACAUGACCCUAAAUAGGAAGUUGUGGAGGAGGCAGAUUGGGGUAGAAUGUUAGUACGAGUUUAGGAUGCUGUAUCUUUUAUUGCAUUCUUUGUGUAUCUUGUAUGUGGUAUUAUUGGAUGACAUUGAUUUAUAUUGUAUCUUGUCCAUUUACCAUUUCUUGUAUAGAUUAUUUUAUUUUGAGUCGAGGGUCUAUCGGAAACAACCUCUUUAUCUCACAUCUGAGGUAGUGGUAUGGACUGCGUACGUUUACCCUCUAGACCCCACUUGAUAGAAAUAUACAGGAUAUGUUAUUGUUGUCGUAGUAAAUUCUUUUAUGUAUUAAAUCCUCUCUUAGACAUAUAUUCACUCACAAAAAUAUCUUAAUAAUUUUCAAGUUAUAUUUAUAUUUAUAUCCAAGCACAACUUCAAAUUUCAAAUAUUUUUUUUUCAAUUUUCAUAUUUUUUAUAUCUAAAUAAAUUUAUCACUUGCAUAUAUUUUUCUUUGAUAUGACAGUUAUAAUGGCUCCA
Molecule: long non-coding RNA, 1239 nt
Organism: Capsicum annuum
Lineage: Eukaryota; Viridiplantae; Streptophyta; Magnoliopsida; Solanales; Solanaceae
Exons: 2
Source: RefSeq, a predicted model, not a curated record